This 600-nucleotide ribosomal RNA is filed under the name Trichoderma citrinoviride. RNAcentral's name for it is "eukaryotic LSU rRNA". The stretch from base 226 to 379 matches the Rfam family "5.8S ribosomal RNA". Lineage: Eukaryota; Fungi; Ascomycota; Sordariomycetes; Hypocreales; Hypocreaceae. The record is from RNAcentral.
CAUUACCGAGUUUACAACUCCCAAACCCAAUGUGAACGUUACCAAUCUGUUGCCUCGGCGGGAUUCUCUGCCCCGGGCGCGUCGCAGCCCCGGAUCCCAUGGCGCCCGCCGGAGGACCAACUCAAACUCUUUUUUCUCUCCGUCGUGGCCUACGUCGCGGCUCUGUUUUAUUUUUGCUCUGAGCCUUUCUCGGCGACCCUAGCGGGCGUCUCGAAAAUGAAUCAAAACUUUCAACAACGGAUCUCUUGGUUCUGGCAUCGAUGAAGAACGCAGCGAAAUGCGAUAAGUAAUGUGAAUUGCAGAAUUCAGUGAAUCAUCGAAUCUUUGAACGCACAUUGCGCCCGCCAGUAUUCUGGCGGGCAUGCCUGUCCGAGCGUCAUUUCAACCCUCGAACCCCUCCGGGGGGUCGGCGUUGGGGAUCGGCCCCUCACCGGGCCGCCCCCGAAAUACAGUGGCGGUCUCGCCGCAGCCUCUCCUGCGCAGUAGUUUGCACACUCGCACCGGGAGCGCGGCGCGGCCACAGCCGUAAAACACCCCAAACUCUGAAAUGUUGACCUCGGAUCAGGUAGGAAUACCCGCUGAACUUAAGCAUAUCAAUAA